Molecule: long non-coding RNA, 304 nt
Filed under: Elaeis guineensis (African oil palm)
Lineage: Eukaryota; Viridiplantae; Streptophyta; Magnoliopsida; Arecales; Arecaceae
Description: long non-coding RNA (EGUI_LNC049259)
Source: RNAcentral
UUUGAACUCUUUCUGCUUCCUCCCGAGUCUUCUGAAGAGCCUUCUACAACUUUAAAAAUUUUUUUCUAGAUGAAGAAAAGCUAGUUAGUUUUGAAUCCUCCCAAAGGCUUUCAACAUAUCUCGAUCUUGUCCUAAGAAUAUAAUCAUAUAUUUCACGAGAACAAAUAGGGGCCUCAUCCUUUAGUCUGGGUUGAGAUUGCAACUCUAUCAUUUUAUUCUAAAAAAAAGCAAAUAUUAGUUUAACCACUUAACUAAGAUGAUACAAAAUUUAUUCUAUAAAACAUAAUAUUUUCUUACAUAAGCC